This 87-nucleotide transfer RNA is filed under the name Bacteroidales bacterium WCE2008. It matches the Rfam family "tRNA". From Rfam's summary of the family: Transfer RNA (tRNA) molecules are approximately 80 nucleotides in length. Lineage: Bacteria; Pseudomonadati; Bacteroidota; Bacteroidia; Bacteroidales. RNAcentral also lists the same sequence under 2 other names. The record is from Rfam by way of RNAcentral.
GGAGGGAUGUCCGAGUGGUUGAAGGAGCCUGCCUCGAAAACAGGUGUGCGGUUUCCCGUACCGGGGGUUCGAAUCCCUUUCCCUCCG